UUAAAUUGAAGAGUUUGAUCAUGGCUCAGAUUGAACGCUGGCGGCAGGCCUAACACAUGCAAGUCGAGCGGUAGCACAGAGAGCUUGCUCUCGGGUGACGAGCGGCGGACGGGUGAGUAAUGUCUGGGAAACUGCCUGAUGGAGGGGGAUAACUACUGGAAACGGUAGCUAAUACCGCAUAACGUCGCAAGACCAAAGUGGGGGACCUUCGGGCCUCAUGCCAUCAGAUGUGCCCAGAUGGGAUUAGCUAGUAGGUGGGGUAACGGCUCACCUAGGCGACGAUCCCUAGCUGGUCUGAGAG
This 301-nucleotide ribosomal RNA is filed under the name Klebsiella pneumoniae IS43. RNAcentral's name for it is "Small Subunit Ribosomal RNA; ssuRNA; SSU rRNA". It matches the Rfam family "Bacterial small subunit ribosomal RNA", at positions 1 to 298 of the family's 1533-position model. The record is from RNAcentral. Lineage: Bacteria; Pseudomonadati; Pseudomonadota; Gammaproteobacteria; Enterobacterales; Enterobacteriaceae.